GGCUGAGUGGUCUAGUGGUAUGAUUCUCGCUUAGGGUGCGAGGGGUCCCGGGUUCAAUCCCCGACUCAGCCC
RNAcentral lists this transfer RNA (72 nucleotides) under Pristionchus pacificus. RNAcentral describes it as "tRNA-Pro (AGG) (tRNA-Pro-AGG-5-1)". It matches the Rfam family "tRNA". From Rfam's summary of the family: Transfer RNA (tRNA) molecules are approximately 80 nucleotides in length. Their secondary structure includes four short double-helical elements and three loops (D, anti-codon, and T loops). Lineage: Eukaryota; Metazoa; Nematoda; Chromadorea; Rhabditida; Neodiplogasteridae. The record is from Rfam by way of RNAcentral.